Molecule: ribosomal RNA, 253 nt
Filed under: uncultured bacterium
Lineage: Bacteria
Description: partial 16S ribosomal RNA
Rfam family: Bacterial small subunit ribosomal RNA
Source: RNAcentral
UACGUAGGAGACGAGCGUUGUCCGGAUUUACUGGGCGUAAAGGGUGCGCAGGCGGCCUGGCGCGUCGCGAGUGAAAUCUCCUGGCUCAACUGGGAGGGUGGUCGCGAGACGGCUGGGCUUGAGGCUCGGUGAGGGGCGUGGAAUUCCGGGUGGAGCGGUGAAAUGCGUAGAUAUCAGGAGGAACACCGGUGGUGUAAACGGCUUUCUGGACCGUAACUGACGCUGAGGCACGAAAGCGUGGGUAGCAAACAGG